RNAcentral lists this long non-coding RNA (1025 nucleotides) under Phascolarctos cinereus (koala). RNAcentral's name for it is "lncRNA (ENSPCIG00000032262.1)". Lineage: Eukaryota; Metazoa; Chordata; Mammalia; Diprotodontia; Phascolarctidae. The record is from RNAcentral.
GUGGGGGUGCUCUGACCACUAAUAGAAAUGUUGGCCAGAGGGGAGGCUUGGGGGUGGGGGGAGAUGAGGAGUUCUGUUUGGGACACAUUGAGUUUAAAAUGUCAAUGGCAGAUGCACUUUAAAAUGUCCAAGACGCAGUUGGAGAUGGGAGACUGGAAGUCAGAAGAAAGGUUGGAUAACUAGACCUGGGAACCAUCUGCAGGCCCUGGGAGCUGACCCAAUCACCCAGCAAAGGGCACACAGGAAGAAAAGAAGAGAGCAGUCUCCAGGACAGUGGCUUGGGAGACAUGCAGGGGUGUCAUUUCACAGAGACUAUAGCUGCCACUGGGGCAAAAGUGGCUUCUGCUCCAAGUCUGGGCAGCGGUUCCCUUCCUUCAGAAUGAUUGAAUUAAAAGAUGAUGACCCCCAGGCCAUUAAGCAGGAGUUUACAAAGAUUCAUCAGAAAGUGGAUGCCCUUCUGAGCAGCCUGGAGAAAGAGCCGGCCCAACAGCCAGAGAGGCAGGAGGCACCCAAGGGGGUUUCAAGCAGCAGCAGCAGCAGCAGCUGCAAGGAUCCCCUGACUAACGUGAAGAUGGGGCCUGAGGAUGGCAGCAGCAGUGGCAGCCCCGGACACUGGGCCUAGGACGGGUCAUCCUGGAGGAGGGGUCAUCCUGGCUGAAGGUCUGGCUGAAGGUCAAGGCUCAAGGACCAGCUGGGGGUGGCUAAGGGACACUGGGGGAGGAUUAGCAGCAGCAGCAGCGCUCUCCAGCACCCUGGGCAGGGGGGUGAUGGGGCCUUCGAGGGCUCCCCUGGCCUCAUUGUAACACCAGGGCCCUCGUCCUAGAGCCAGCCUCACCAGGUUCUCUCCCGUGGUACGUGCUCACUGUUGCCCUCAACCUUAGCCUCUCCCUCAAUCCCCUGUGCCUGCAGAGGCCUCUUUCCAACCACAAUUCUUAGAGGAGUUCGAUGAAGAUCUCUCUAUUUUCCUCAUUUAACUAAGAAACCUUGUUUUGGCUAAAACAAUAAAGUUCUGUUGUCCUGCUGCA